RNAcentral lists this ribosomal RNA (301 nucleotides) under uncultured bacterium. RNAcentral's name for it is "partial 16S ribosomal RNA". It matches the Rfam family "Bacterial small subunit ribosomal RNA", at positions 509 to 809 of the family's 1533-position model. The record is from RNAcentral.
CAGCAGCCACGGGAAUACGUAGGGUGCGAGCGUUAAUCGGAAUUACUGGGCGUAAAGCGUGCGCAGGCGGUUGUGUAAGACAGGUGUGAAAUCCCCGGGCUUAACCUGGGAACUGCGCUUGUGACUGCACAGCUAGAGUAUGGCAGAGGGGGGUGGAAUUCCACGUGUAGCAGUGAAAUGCGUAGAGAUGUGGAGGAACACCGAUGGCGAAGGCAGCCCCCUGGGCCAAUACUGACGCUCAUGCACGAAAGCGUGGGGAGCAAACAGGAUUAGAUACCCCGGUAGUCCCUGUCUCUUAUAA